RNAcentral lists this ribosomal RNA (83 nucleotides) under uncultured bacterium. Its description in RNAcentral is "partial 16S ribosomal RNA". The record is from RNAcentral.
UCAUGAAAGCCGGCUGUACCCGAAGUCGCUGUGCCAACCCGCAAGGGAGGCAGGUGCCGAAGGUGUGGCUGGUGAUUGGGAUG